UACGGAGGAUGCAAGCGUUAUCCGGAUUUAUUGGGUUUAAAGGGUGCGUAGGCGGAUGAAUAAGUCAGUGGUGAAAGGCUGCAGCUUAACUGUAGACUUGCCGUUGAUACUGUUUAUCUUGAGUAUGGUCAAGGCAGGCGGAAUGUGUAAUGUAGCGGUGAAAUGCUUAGAUAUUACACAGAACACCGAUUGCGAAGGCAGCUUGCUGGGCCAUUACUGACGCUGAUGCACGAAAGCGUGGGGAGCGAACAGGAUUAGAUACCCUGGUAGUCCACGCCGUAAACUAUGAUCACUAGCUGUUGGCGAUACACAGUCAGCGGCAAAGCAAAAGCAUUAAGUGAUCCACCUGGGGAGUACGGCCGCAAGGCUGAA
This 372-nucleotide ribosomal RNA is filed under the name uncultured bacterium. Its description in RNAcentral is "bacterial SSU rRNA". It matches the Rfam family "Bacterial small subunit ribosomal RNA", at positions 524 to 898 of the family's 1533-position model. The record is from RNAcentral.